CACAAAGGCUUGGUCCUGACCUUGAAAUCAAUUACUACUUAACCUACACAUGCAAGUCUCCGCAUCCCUGUGAGAACGCCCAUAAACCCUCAUGAGUUUAAAGGAGCAGGUAUCAGGCUCACCUCGCCCAAGACACCUAGCCUUGCCACACCCACAAGGGUACUCAGCAGUGACUAAUAUUGAAUCAUGAGCAACAGCUCGAUUCAGUCAAAGUAUUUAGGGCCGGCCAACUUGGUGCCAGCUGCCGCGGCUAAACCAUGGUGCCCAAAUUGAUUUCCAUCGGCGUAAAGCGUGGUUAAAGAUUUCCUAAAACUAGAGCUAAACCCGGAUAUUUACAGUAAAAUACUUAUCCCAAGGAAACGCAUUAACGAAAGUCGCUCUACUUAAUUCACUUGAACCCACGAAAGCUAGGACAUAAACUGGGAUUUGAUACCCCACUAUACCUUGCCGUAAACUUUUACUUACACCACAACCCCGCCAGGGAACUACGAGCAAAGCUUAAAACCCAAAGGACUUGACGGUGCCCAUAUCCCACUAGAGGAGCCUGUCCUAUAAUCGAUGAUCCCCGUUUAACCUCACCACUCCUAGCCUAUCAGCCUGUAUAUUUCCGUCGUAAACUAACCACAUGAGUGAAACUCAGUUAGUUCCAGGACCCCACCCGUCAGCACGUCAGGUCAAAAUGCAGCAAAUGAAGUGGAAAGAGAUUGGCUACACUUUUUAACUUAAAAGAAACGAAAGACAAUUAAUGAAACUUUGUCAGAAGGUGGAUUUAGCAGUAAAAAGAAUUCAUAAUAUUCAUUUGAAUCUGGCACUGGAGCGUGUACAAACCGCCCGUCACCCUCUUCGACAAAGACCAAAACAGUAUUUAACAAAAUAUUUUUCCCCAGAGAAGAGGUAAGUCGUAACAUGGUAAGUAUACCGGAAGGUGUACUUGGAAC
Molecule: non-coding RNA, 938 nt
Filed under: Eleutherodactylus cooki
Lineage: Eukaryota; Metazoa; Chordata; Amphibia; Anura; Eleutherodactylidae
Description: 12S ribosomal RNA
Rfam family: Bacterial small subunit ribosomal RNA
Source: RNAcentral